RNAcentral lists this ribosomal RNA (465 nucleotides) under uncultured bacterium. RNAcentral's name for it is "partial 16S ribosomal RNA". It matches the Rfam family "Bacterial small subunit ribosomal RNA", at positions 338 to 795 of the family's 1533-position model. The record is from RNAcentral.
CCUACGGGUGGCAGUAGUAGGGAAUCUUCCACAAUGGGCGCAAGCCUGAUGGAGCAACACCGCGUGAGUGAAGAAGGCUUUCGGCUCGUAAAGCUCUGUUGUUGGAGAAGAACGUUCCUGAGAGUAACCGUUCCCGCAGUGACGGUAUCCAACCAGAAAGUCACGGCUAACUACGUGCCAGCAGCCGCGGUAAUACGUAGGUGGCAAGCGUUAGCCGGAUUUAUUGGGCGUAAAGCGAGCGCAGGCGGUCGCUUAGGUCUGAUGUGAAAGCCUUCGGCUUAACCGAAGAAGUGCAUCGGAAACCGGGCGACUUGAGUGCAGAAGAGGACGGUGGAACUCGAGGUGUAGCGGUGGAAUGCGUAGAUAUAUGGAAGAACACCAGUGGCGAAGGCAGCUGGCUGGUCUGCAACUGACGCUGAGGCUCGAAAGCAUGGGUAGCGAACAGGAUUAGAUACCCCUGUAGUC